RNAcentral lists this ribosomal RNA (497 nucleotides) under uncultured bacterium. Its description in RNAcentral is "partial 16S ribosomal RNA". It matches the Rfam family "Bacterial small subunit ribosomal RNA", at positions 28 to 523 of the family's 1533-position model. The record is from RNAcentral.
GAUGAACGCUAGCGGCAGGCCUAAUACAUGCAAGUCGGACGGGAUUUAGGAGCUUGCUCCUAAUGAGAGUGGCGCACGGGUGCGUAACACGUAUGUAACCUACCUUGUUCAGGGGGAUAGCCUCUCGAAAGAGAGAUUAAGACCGCAUAACGUUAUUGAAUGGCAUCGUUUAAUAACCAAAUAUUUAUAGGAACAAGAUGGGAAUGCGGAACAUUAGCUAGUUGGUAGGGUACGGCCUACCAAGGCUACGAUGUUUAGGGGAUCUGAGAGGAUGACCCCCCACACUGGUACUGAGACACGGACCAGACUCCGACGGGAGGCAGCAGUAAGGAAUAUUGGGCAAUGGGCGGAAGCCUGAACCAGCCAUGCCGCGUGCAGGAAGACGGCCCUACGGGUUGUAAACUGCUUUUAUACGGGAGUAAACCUUGAUACGUGUAUCAAGCUGAAUGUACUGUAAGAAUAAGGAUCGGCCAACGCCGUGCCAGCAGCCGCCGUAA